CAGCAGAAGAGUCGGCAUUUACACAGAAUGCGGACACAACAUUAUUUUCACGUGGAGUAAUUGACGGAGAGAUCCUCCUCGGCGAGUUUGAAAAAUGGAUAAAAAUACAAAAAAUCAGCAAUCGGGACACAUUUAUGAAUAAGGAUCACUACAUGCUUCUCACAGCACGAGAAAUUGCUCUGACCGGAAACGCCGGUGCUGCAGGUUAUGCAUAUACUGGAGAAAUAUGCACUGAUAAGUCUGUAUCAAUCGUAGAAGACAAGAUUAAUUUUAUAUCCGUGGUAACAGCGGCACAUGAACUCGGCCACAGGUAAUUCUGAGUUUGUA
This is a long non-coding RNA of Ruditapes philippinarum (Manila clam), 327 nucleotides long. RefSeq lists it as uncharacterized. Lineage: Eukaryota; Metazoa; Mollusca; Bivalvia; Venerida; Veneridae. The transcript is spliced from 3 exons. The record is from RefSeq and is a predicted model, not a curated record.